RNAcentral lists this transfer RNA (358 nucleotides) under uncultured Microcystis sp. Its description in RNAcentral is "partial 16S-23S ribosomal RNA intergenic spacer". The stretch from base 132 to 205 matches the Rfam family "tRNA". Lineage: Bacteria; Bacillati; Cyanobacteriota; Cyanophyceae; Chroococcales; Microcystaceae. The record is from RNAcentral.
AGGGAGACCUAAUUCAGGUAUGGGACGAAAAAAAAGUAGUCGCUACCAAGAAUCAAUCCCAAAAGGUCGGAGCGAGGUAUGAGGCUUUCAAACUAGGUUCUGGGUUCAAACAAGACCUGAAUCAGGAACAAGGGCUAUUAGCUCAGGUGGUUAGAGCGCACCCCUGAUAAGGGUGAGGUCCCUGGUUCGAGUCCAGGAUGGCCCACCUGCACAGGUGGCAAAAAAAAGAAAAGAAGCGAGGAAUCAGCACCUUAUCUUAUCUAUAUAUAAGAGAGAAUGCUGGCUCUGAGUACAGAGUCCAGAGGAACCUUGAAAACUGCAUAGAGCUAGGUGAAAAAGCCAAAAAAGAAGACCGCAA